RNAcentral lists this ribosomal RNA (468 nucleotides) under uncultured bacterium. RNAcentral describes it as "partial 16S ribosomal RNA". It matches the Rfam family "Bacterial small subunit ribosomal RNA", at positions 28 to 507 of the family's 1533-position model. The record is from RNAcentral.
GACGAACGCUGGCGGCGUGCUUAACACAUGCAAGUCGAACGGAAAGGCCCUGCUUUUGUGGGGUUCUCGAGUGGCGAACGGGUGAGUAACACGUGAGUAACCUGCCCUUGACUUUGGGAUAACUUCAGGAAACUUGGGCUAAUACCGGAUAGGAGCUCCUGCUGCAUGGUGGGGGUUGGAAAGUUUCGGCGGUUGGGGAUGGACUCGCGGCUUAUCAGCUUGUUUGUGGGGUAGUUGCUUACCAAGGCUUUGACGGGUAGCCGGCCUGAGAGGGUGACCGGCGACAUUGGGACUGAGAUACGGCCCAGACUCCAACGGGAGGCAGCAGUGGGGAAUAUUGCACAAUGGGCGGAAGCCUGAUGCAGCAACGCCGCGUGCGGGAUGAAGGCCUUCGGGUUGUAAACCGCUUUCGCCUGUGACGAAGCGUGAGUGACGGUAAUGGGUAAAGAAGCACCGGCUAACUACGUG